Molecule: long non-coding RNA, 1449 nt
Organism: Chinchilla lanigera (long-tailed chinchilla)
Lineage: Eukaryota; Metazoa; Chordata; Mammalia; Rodentia; Chinchillidae
Exons: 5
Source: RefSeq, a predicted model, not a curated record
CUUGGAGCGACCGACUCUGCUUGGGAACUCCUGGCUACACUGCGCUCCUGACACGGCUGAGGGGCAGCUGCAGACUCCCGAAAAGUCCGUAAAAAUGUGCCUCGCACACCAGAGACUGAAGAAAUCUCCGUGGAUGCAGCCCGAGAGGCCGAGGCCCUCCUCAGUCCUGGUUUGAGAGGGUUGAGCAAACGUCCCGCAGUAAGCGAUGGGAUGCGUGUGGCCUACUAACGAGGAGGGUCUUAGGGCGUCAAAGAGAGAGUCCCAAAUGAAGCCUCCCUCACCAGAACCACCACUGUGCCCUUUGCCCCAGCCUCUUGCUGUAGAAAUGGGCGCUGUGAUUAGGUGUUUACAUUUCCGAUCUAUGUGAAAAUUGGCUUGCAUCACCCCAAGAGAUGCUUUCCCUUUGACAGAUUAAGGAAAGGAAAUGGAUUUUAAUUGCAGUAAUUCCUAAGAAUGACAACUUGGUUGAUGAGUCAUUAAAUAUUGAGUUAUAGUACCAAAGAAUGUUGCACACUUACUGCCUCAAGUCUCCAAAAAUAAGGAUGCUCAUCUUUUUUUAAUCCAAUGAAUAGUAGUACUCUACUUCCCUACCUGUCUUCACUCCAAUCCUGCAUCCUAGCAGCAACCAGUUUUCUUCUGAUAGUUGUGGAAGACCACCUGGAUGACUGUCCUUGAAAGAAGAGCAAUUGUCGCAUUUUAGCAAAAUCUGGCCCUAUUUCAUGCACUGUUCUUUGCAAUAUGACUUUAUCCCUCCUUCUAAUAAGAAGUAGAGUCUGGCUUGGCCUGGUGACUUUCUUUGACCAAUAGUGUAUGGCAGAAGUGAUGGUGGAUGACUUCUAAGCCUUGGCCUCAAGAAGCUUUUCACCUUUCAGCUUCAGCCCCUGGAAUACUGCCCUGCAGCUGUAUGGGCAGGAGGAUUUUGACCUGCUGAAAAAUGACAGGCUGCCUGAAUUAAAGAUGAAUUUUUCCAGUGGAAGCCUCUUAGACCAAACAGUGUGAACUGCCAGAUAUAUUUUGGAGACUAUUUUAGGCUAUCUAGUCUUGUCAAGCUGUUUAAUGAAUCAAAAUUUGCCACAUCAGUGACCUAGACAAGACCAGUAGAAGAAUGGUCUAAAUUGUGUUUUUCAAAUCCUUUGGGAAGAGAUUUCCUUUUAUCUUUCUUUCUCAGGUUGGGUGCCCCUAAAGUUAAAAAUCUGCUUUUCAACUAGAGUUUUUGUAAUUCUCCAAAUAGAAUAUUGUGAAUUUUUAUUUUAGAAUGUAUUUUGCCACAAACUUAAAUAUGUUGCUUUGAAUAUGCAUUGUACACAUAGAAUAUUCUGUGCAGUGUCACAACUGUAAAAAUAAUGAUAUAAGUUGGGUGUAGCGAUGCCUGCCUAUAAUACCAUGAUUCUUGGAGGCAGAGGCAGGAGGAUUGCAAGUUUGAGCCCAGUCUGGGUGAUUUAACAAGAC